RNAcentral lists this long non-coding RNA (1085 nucleotides) under Chelonoidis abingdonii (Abingdon island giant tortoise). RNAcentral's name for it is "lncRNA (ENSCABG00000005932.1)". Lineage: Eukaryota; Metazoa; Chordata; Testudines; Testudinidae. The record is from RNAcentral.
AUGUCAAGAGGGUCACAACUCCAGCUCGUUAGUCAGGAGCCUGUAGGAAGUUAUCAGAGACAUUGGGAGUCUCCAGAUGUUGCAGAUAUCAGCAAGACAUGGAAUCCACGCUGGAGGGAGCAUUGUGGUGACAUGGUGUGACAAUUCUGGAACUGGAACUAUAAAAGAUGCACAUAAGUCAAGUUAAUGUUUUCACGUAUUCAAAUUGGAUACUGAACUCUAGUCUUGGAUAACUUGUCAUGUGGCAAAAUUUUGACCUGAGAUUGUUUAAAGUAGGAUGUCUUUGUGAUUGCUUGCAUGUAUCUGUGUAAGGGAAUUCAACAAACUUAACAAAUCCACCUAUACUCUAAUUGGACAGGGAUCUAAUUUAGUAGGUAUAUCACCUAUACUGUAUUCCAUCCACAGUAUGGUAUUGCUGCAUAUUUAAUUACUGAAUAUAUUUCAGUCUGAAACUGGAACUCCUACCGUAUUUCAUUAAUUCAGUAAGUAGUCAUGAGAGCUUUGGUUUUUUCCUAAAGCUCUAAGUCAAACUUAAUUCAGUUAAGUUUGAUGUUUCUGGUGAAAGACAAUCUGCAAGUAAUUGCUACUUGAACUUGCUCACUGAGUUACCAUUAAUAUUUGAAGGAUUCUUGUUCUUUUAGUCACCAAGUGGGAUCAUCUGGUGUUUAAACUGAACACAUUAAAAACUUAACAGGGAAAUAUGUAUUACAGCUUUGACCCCACUGGUGGGACUUUGCCUUUGCCUUUGAUUGGCAACUACAGAGGCAGCUUUGGGAUUGCAUUGGUCUAAUGCUUAAGCAAAUCCACAGAUUUAACUUGUUCAAACUUGAUUAAUGUUGAGCAAAACCAGAAUGAGUAUACUACUCACAAUCAAACUGUUUGACUUUGAUAAUGGCAACCCUAGUGCUAACUUUUUAAUGAACUAGUUGCAUUGAUUGGAUUCAGCACAUUAAAUUUUUUUCAUUGUAUACUUCAAACUAUUUAAGAAUGUUGAAUUCAAGAAAUCAAUGUUAUGUAUUGUGUAUUUAUUGGUUUAAAAAAAACCUAAGAAAUCCCAUAAGUUUUAUGGGCCUAUUAAAUGUAAU